CUCAAGAGAUGCAUGUCUGUAUGUAUACUGCUGCGAAUGGCUCAUUAAAUCAGUUAUCGUUUAUUUGAUAGUACCUUACUACAUGGAUAACCGUGGUAAUUCUAGAGCUAAUACAUGCURAAAACCCCAACUUCGGAAGGGGUGUAUUUAUUAGAUAAAAAACCAAUGCCCUUCGGGGCUCCUUGGUGAAUCAUAAUAACUUCACGAAUCGCAUGGCCUUGCGCCGGCGAUGGUUCAUUCAAAUUUCUGCCCUAUCAACUUUCGAUGGUAGGRUAGWGGCCUACCAUGGUUUCAACGGGUAACGGGGAAUUAGGGUUCGAYUCCGGAGAGGGAGCCUGAGAAACGGCUACCACAUCCAAGGAAGGCAGCAGGCGCGCAAAUUACCCAAUCCCGACACGGGGAGGUAGUGACAAUAAAUACUGAUACAGGGCUCUUUUGGGUCUUGUAAUUGGAAUGAGUACAAUUUAAAUCCCUUAACGAGGAACAAUUGGAGGGCAAGUCUGGUGCCAGCAGCCGCGGUAAUUCCAGCUCCAAUAGCGUAUAUUAAAGUUGUUGCAGUUAAAAAGCUCGUAGUUGAACCUUGGGCCUGGCUGGCCGGUCCGCCUCACCGCGUGUACUGGUCCGGCCGGGCCUUUCCUUCUGGGGAGCCKCAUGCCCUUCACUGGGSGUGUYGGGGAACCAGGACUUUUACUUUGAAAAAAUUAGAGUGUUCAAAGCAGGCCUUUGCUCGAAUACAUUAGCAUGGAAUAAUAGAAUAGGACGUGUGGUUCUAUUUUGUUGGUUUCUAGGACCGCCGUAAUGAUUAAUAGGGAUAGUCGGGGGCAUCAGUAUUCAAUUGUCAGAGGUGAAAUUCUUGGAUUUAUUGAAGACKAACUACUGCGAAAGCAUUUGCCAAGGAUGUUUUCAUUAAUCAGUGAACGAAAGUUAGGGGAUCGCGAUC
Molecule: ribosomal RNA, 940 nt
Filed under: Cercospora vignae-subterraneae
Lineage: Eukaryota; Fungi; Ascomycota; Dothideomycetes; Mycosphaerellales; Mycosphaerellaceae
Description: SSU rRNA
Source: RNAcentral